Molecule: long non-coding RNA, 2537 nt
Organism: Cavia porcellus (domestic guinea pig)
Lineage: Eukaryota; Metazoa; Chordata; Mammalia; Rodentia; Caviidae
Exons: 3
Source: RefSeq, a predicted model, not a curated record
CAACUCAUGAGGAUCCAAAGUCCCAUUAUUCCUAUUGUAAUUCUUCCAAUGAAUAGGUAAUGUCGUGAAGCAUACAGGAAGAGCACCAACAUAGCAACUUGCUGAAUUAUUCAGGGAGCUCUGCUUUGGCAGGAAGGAGCAGCAUUCCCUUCAUGUCCUUUUUCAUUUCAGUAAACUGAAGCUCUUGACUUUGCCUGUUCCACAAUUAGCUCCCUGGCAAUGUUCAGUACCUCAUUACCAUGAAAGCAAGCAAGCAAAAACCUACUCGUUAAAAAGCAAUGGGUUACCGUCAUCUUUCUGAUAGAAGUGAACUCUCAUCACCCUUAGUACAGUGUAACAUAAAACCACUUCUGCUCUCUAUUCUGCAAACAGACUUUUAAUGAGGGAGGGAGUUAAACUGCUUGUUUCCCCCAGCCAAGAUCAAUCCACUGGCCUCUCCUACCUGCCCUUCUCCUGGGCACCAUUCGGUGGAUGUGGGUGCAGGUCUUACAUCACAGCACCCAGUGUGAGAACUCAAGUCUAGCACUAAGGUUUGGGAAAAGGCUCAGCAGCAUACAGGGAGGAUGUGGCCCUGAAACUGAAGAGAAUCUCUGUCCUCUCUUCCAUGUGCCAGGCUCUACUGCACCUACUUUGAAUAGGACACCAACACAUAUCUGUGGUACACAUCCUGCCCAGCUAGCUGCCUGACCUUUCCCUGAUAAGCCUGGCUUUCUGAUACCUGCAGACCUGGCUGGCACUGAGCAAGUGUCCUCAUGCAGACGCUGGCCUUCUAAGAGGUUCCAAUGGUAUCCGGCACACAGAGGCUUCUGUGCAUAUUGCUCAAUUGCACCUUCCCAAACACAGCUGGUGCCACCGAUAAGCUACACGUGACAACCAGAGUGGGAGCACAGCUACAAGCAACCAGUCUGUGCAGGGACUGCCCGAGACAGAGGUCUGAAGACACCAUAUGAGAUUAAGAGGGAUAUAAGGAAUGAUCAAAACAUCUGAUGAAUGCUACUUCUUGAUGACCAUCAAUGAAAGGACAGGCAGACCGAUAAAAACAUCACAGUGUGUCCUCAUCCACCUUAUUUACCAGAGCUGAUGCUGCUCAACUUCUGGAUCGUCCCCAAAGUCAAAAUGACCAUGAAAAAUAGACAUUCUGAAUCAGCUCGGAACAUUGAGGGAGCUACAACGGGCAACUAAAGAUACUCACAAAAAAGGACUUCCAGAACUGCUCCAGAAAGUGGUGAGAAAGUUGGGGCUCAGGAUUCAAGUUCCGAGGACUGAGGAACUCUAGACCUAGGCUGCAGCAUCUCCUCCACUACACUUGGAACCAUGGGACAUCAAGGCCACUGAGGAGCUGCUGGUGCUGUGAGCUGUCCUGGAUUCUUUGCCCUGCCAUCUCUCCGUUCUGCAGUCCCUGCCUCUUGGGAUGUGCCCAGGAAGGGUGACAGGAGGGGACUGCCUCUUACUGCCUGGACUUGUUCACUACACACAGCUCUGAGGCAUUGCAUGUAUGGAGUCCUCAGGCCUCUACACCAUACAAAAAUGGACAGAAGUCAUGGGACAUUCCCAGGGGCACAUGGGCAGCUCCUGAGGGACCCUGAUGUGAAGCCAGGCAGUGUGGCCUUGGAGAUGUGAUCUUGAUCACUACUUACGUCACUGCCUUCCUUCCCCUGGCUUAAAGAAACAGUGUCUACCAUCAUGGCAUGACCUGAAAAGUCCUCAAGAAAGCACAUGUGGACAGAGACAAGUCUCAUGAGAGUAUUAUGCCAUACAGCAGAAUUGCCCUCUCCACAUGAAGUCAUCAGUGGCACCCCUGAAGCAGUCAUCCGCAUGGCUUCUCAUACACCCACACCGACCCCUGGCCUCUGAUGUCCCUCUGGGUAACCUUGGGACUCCACAAACAUAGAGGGGACCUACAAGACUAGUGUCCAUUUGUAACAGGAAAUGUGGGGCUCUUGGUCCCAGGGCCUUGACAUCCUAGGGUUGACGGUAUCAGAGUCAAAAUAUGAACACAUCAUCUGCAAAAUCUCAAGAAAGACAGGGGUUCAGUUGAGUAUGGUCAUGCACACUGGGAGGCUAAGGCAGGAGGACCAUGGGUAUCAGCCAGCCUGGGCAACUUCUCAACUCAAAAUUAACAAGCAGAAACAGAGGGAGAAGGAGAGAAAGAGAGGAGAGAGAGAGAGGAGAGAGAGAGCGAGAGAGAGAGAGAGAGAGAGAGAGAGAGAGAGAGAGAAUAGAGAGGAGGAGAAGGAAAAGAAGAAAAGAGGAGGAGAAAGAGAAGGAGGAAAAGAAGCUCGAGGAUGUAGCUUAGUCCAAAGCCUUGGAUUCAAUCCCAGUACUGGAAAAAAAUAAGAGAGAGGGCAGACGUUCAUGGAUAACCAGCAACAUUAAGAAAAAAAUGAAACAACGGUCCCUUUUUUUCAGGAAGUUUGCUGUAUUUAGUCAUUUAUAGGAAAAUUCAGAGUGUCCAGAAGAAAACAGCAAUGUGUAGCAUUUUCCAUGAUCAGCUAGUUUUCCCCAAAAUAAAUUCAUGCAGCUUUAGCUGACUUCUA